GCAGCGAUGUCCGAGUGGUUAAGGAGUUGGACUUGAAAUCCAAUGGGCUUUGCCCGCGCAGGUUCG
Gongylonema pulchrum is the source of this 66-nucleotide non-coding RNA. The record is from Rfam. NCBI's taxonomy places the organism in Eukaryota, Metazoa, Nematoda, Chromadorea, Rhabditida, Gongylonematidae.